RNAcentral lists this ribosomal RNA (406 nucleotides) under uncultured bacterium. RNAcentral describes it as "partial 16S ribosomal RNA". It matches the Rfam family "Bacterial small subunit ribosomal RNA", at positions 29 to 526 of the family's 1533-position model. The record is from RNAcentral.
AUUGAACGCUGGCGGCAGGCCUAACACAUGCAAGUCGAGCGAGCGGCGGACGGGUGAGUAAUGUAUGGGGAACUGCCCGAAAGAGGGGGAUAACUACUGGAAACGGUGGCUAAUACCGCAUACUAUCGGAUGUGCCCAUAUGGGAUUAGCUAGUAGGUGGGGUAAAGGCUCACCAAGGCGACGAUCCCUAGCAGGUCUGAGAGGAUGACCAGCCAAACUGGGACUGAGACACGGCCCAGACUCCUACGGGAGGCAGCAGUGGGGAAGAUUGCACAAUGGGCGCAAGCCGGAUGCAGCCAUGCCGCGUGUAUGAAGAAGGCCUUAGGGUUGUAAAGUACUUUCAGCGGGGAGGCGUUACCCGCAGAAGAAGCACCGGCUAAGUCCGUGCCAGCAGCCGCGGUAAUAC